CGGAGGGAAGCCGGAGCCGGCCCGCUCCCGGCAGCCCCUGCGCCUCCUGCCGGGCGGGGCUGCCCGCGGCACACAUGGCCCCGCCCCGCCCCGGCCACGGCAGGACCUCGCCGCUCGCCCGCCCCGGCCCCGGCCCCGGCCCCGGCCCCGCGCACCGCAGCAGGGCCAGGGCGGAGCCGGUGCAUCCCCCCCCCCCCCCCCCCCCCCGCCGACGCUGCCGCGGACUCCAUUGAUUUGGUCGGUUGGGCCCGAGUUAGCGACGCCGCACGGCGGGGCGGGGCGGGCCCGCGCUCUGACCCGCGGGCGGCCCCGGCCCCGGCCCCGGCCCCGGCGGCGCUGCCGGCCUGGGCCCGCCCCGGCCGUGGGGCGCUCGAGCCGGCGGACACGAGGCCCGCGGCGCGCCGGGACGGGGCGGCUCCGCGCGCGGGACGCAGGACUUCGGCCGGGCGCCUGGGCCCGGGCCCGGGGCUUCCCCCGGGGAGCAGCCCGGAGCCGCCUGGGCCGGCGGGACGCAAACCACGUUCGCGCACACGACACGUGCACGCUGCUCACGCGUGGCCGUUUCAAGGAGAGCGGUUAUAAUCUCUACCGUUCGUCCUCGCAGCAGAUACUGUGGCUGCGAGAACGCGAGCCCGAGACGGCUGGCGCCGAGGGAGGAGAACGGCUUCCGCGCGUGUUGGUGGCCGAGCGGGGCGGAGGGAGCGCCGGCACGGGCGAUCCUGGGUUCUGGUGCUCGCGCAGCCAGCACGAGUCAGCAACGGGAUGCUGCCGUGCAAACGAACUAAACAUUGGUUACGGGCCCAGAAGCAGCGCGUGCAAGACGCAGAAGGCGAUGGCUCAGCUCUGCUCCGCGCCGCCUAGGCUUCUCGGUGCAGCGGUUUCCGAUCGCCGUGGAGGAACUGGAGAACAUGGAGAGAGGACCAGCGAAGGGGAGGGAGGGAGACACGCGGAGGGAGGCUGUAGGAACUCGGGGGCACGCCGCCACUCGCACGUAUCUGGAAGGAUCCAUCAGGAUGGAGAUAUUGCUCUGCCCUGGGGGGGGGCAGGUCACGUGGCAACGACGGUGCUUCUCACCCUCGUUAGACUCAAGGCACCCGUCAGAAAAUGCCAGCUUUUAGCUUUCAUUUGAUUCUUGACUACAGAAAAGUUACGGAGCGAUUCUUGUGUUGUGAAGAACUCAGAAAGACGGCGGCAGGGCGGAGCAUGGCUGACACAGUGGAUUGCUUUUCCAAUCUCUGGUUUCAUCCCGCGAGUCUUGUGCAGGUGCUAAUAGGCAGCACCCUGUGGCACCUGAAAAGGAUCUCGUGGCAUCCGGGUUGAGAAUCAGCUGUGCGUAGCAGAGCCGUUCUAGAUCCAGUCUCAGGAAAGGCUUCCGAACCAUCACAACAGGACGGCAAUGGAAUAAGAGAAGACACCUGAGGAAAAAUAGCAUCUCCUUCAUUGGAGGCUUUUAAGAGGAGGCUGGAUAGGCCUUGGUAUUGGAUUGUUUGGCAGUAAUGAUUCCUUCACUUGUGCAGUGGGUCAAAUUGGAUAGAAGUCUUGGAGUUCCCCUUCAAUCCCAUGAUUUUAAUUGUUUUAACAAUAGCACUAAGGUGCUCUUACAUAAGACACACAUUACCAGCAUCUACUGUUAGUAAAAGCACGGUCCAAGAAACAUUCUGAUAGUAAUCAGAACAGGCAGCAGAUAUAAAGGAGAGGGCGUGAACCUUGUUGUCAGCAUUAUACAUGUGAAAAGGCAAACUACCAGUAGGCUCCAAAGAAAAAGAUGAGAUUAUAGAGCAUAACCUGCCAGACACGCAUCUUGAAUACUGAAUCAUCUGUAUAACCUAUCGCUCCCUCCGGAGUCCCUUAAAGAGGUACCCAUGCCAGGAAGAGUUUUAAAAAUAAAGUUUCACAGAUUAUCCAACCAUUUGGAACAAGAGCAUUUCUAGCUUUACGUUUCUAAAACAUUAGUAAAUUAUGAGGGUGAGGAGGAACUACUCCGGUUACAAAAGUAGGGCAACCCGAUUAAAGGUCUACUAGGAACGGGCGGGAAUAUGGAAAAUCUUUAAAUAAAGUCACAAGAAGGAAAUUAGUGUGACCGUCUGUGAGUCACCUGAGAUGACAAGAAAACAAAUGCAACAAGUAUGGGACAUAAAGAACUGGAAGGCCAAAAUAUGCAACCAAAAUUAUCUUUUAAUCAGAAAGACAGAGACUUGGUGGAAGAGUUCACACAAUGGACUGACUGAUAUAGAGGGGUAUAGCUUGCUCAGGAAGGAUGGAUGGGGAAAAAGUGGAAAAGGUUUUGUCUUAUAUCCAAGUCACAGGACCUGGUGGCGGAGGACUUUAAAUUACUGUGAUAUCAUCUGGGAGAGCAACACAGCUGAUCACAAGUGAUCCCACAAAUUCUUACAUGAUGUUGGGGAUGAGAAACCCACGAUGGGAAGAGGCUCUUCUUGGUGUUCUUCUUACUGAGAAGUAAUCAGUAGAGAAUCUGAAAGGUGGAAACCAGCCCGAGUAAUAUUCAUGAAAUGGAACAUAUCAUCCAAGGGCAAGGAAGAAAUGAGAACAGCAAAACUAUGAAAGUGGACUUCAGGAAAGCUGGCAAACUCAGGGAAUUCGUGGACAGGGUUCAAGGAUAAAGGAAAAGAUGGUCAUCCCUUAAAGAGAGAAUAUUCUGGCAUAAGACCAUGUUAGCCCUGCAUGAAAAAAAAGGACUGGAAAUGUGGAAGGAGCUCUCCACGGCUAUACUAUGAGCUUGUAAGCAAUCGAGUCACAAUUGAAGACCUGGCUAUAUGACUAUGGAUGAGUACAAGAGCAUGUAGAGACAAAAUCAGGAAGGCCAAAAUCAAGAUAGCAAGGGACAUAGCCCAAGUAAUUUAAAGUUGACAGAGUUACAAGCAACAAGAGGGUCUAACUAAUGAGAUGUACCAGCUAAUCUUCACUGUACAUGUUACAGUUACCCUUACCUUGACGGACCACGAUGCUUUAUUUUCCCUAAGUAGCUGUUCCUUGCCAAGAAGUAAUCACACCCCAAUGCUUAAGUUUUGGUAAAAAUGGCUGCUUGAAGCAUUUGUGAACCAAAAAGGAAGAAGAAUUAAAGAACUGAACUGUCCAUCAUUCAAAAAUGACAAUUUUGCUGAAACUUUUAAAAACAUUCUUUUUUAGGAUCACUCCAGGGAUAAGAAAUUUCAGCCUAAAGAGAAACAUCUUGACAAAAUCAAGAAACAAACAAAACUAGGACUGUAGGAGGGAAUGGCUCUUUCCUCAUUUAUGUCUUUGCUGUGAAAAAUCGCUCUGUGCCAGAAUAGUUAGAGCAUUGAAUAUUCAAAGCAUGGCCUCUCACUGGAAAAAGCUUGUUUCACUAUUCAGACAUUUCUGUUGCCUUCCUAAUAGGCUAAGCUCCAAAGUAAAAGAGACAACUAAACAGCAGAUAUAUGGGACUGUGCUCCACAUCUCAGUCCAUAACUCAACCCUCACUUCCCAUUUCAAACUAAAAGGCCUCUCCCCACACUUCCUCUGCAUCUUCCCAGCACUUUCCUUGCUAUUUUCCAAUUAUUUAGGAAGAGAAACAAAACUUUUUGUGGACAAAAAUUUUAGAAGAUAAAAGGUUUGAGUUGCUCACCAUUUCAACAGUAAAUCACCAACAAUAUAAAUAAUUUGUGAAAAAGUAAACAGGCUGUAGAUUUUGGUCUGAGCAUUAUUAUUUCCAUAAAUGUCAGUCAUGUUCAUCAAGAAGAAAAUAUAGAACCUCUCAAACAAACUGUUUCACAGCCCAUUUACAAAUAGAUGAAAUGUUAGCACAAAACCCCAGCCCCAUGUUCCUACCUGAUCCUGUGACCAAAAAAACCCCCAAAUCAGGGAGCAUGCACUCCAACUAUUUUAAGUUUCCUUUCUGCUGUUUGAGCUGUGUCAUGAUGGUUGAAAAAGGCUGGAUGACUUCUUCCAUAAGUGCACGUGGUCCUUUAAAGAAAUUAGUCCAAAUCUGAUAAAUAGCAAAAAUAAAAGAUGAACGGGUGAAGUGGGCACACUAGAAGGGAGGGACAGGAUACAGCUGGACCUGGCCAGGUUCCAGGGGUGGGCGGAUGAGAACAGGAUGGGUUUCAACACUGACAAGUGCAAGGUGCUGCACUUGGGCAGGAAGAACCAGCAGCACACCUACAGGCUGGGGAACUCCCUUUUCAUCAGUGCAGAGACAGAAAAGGAUCUUGGAGUCUAUUGAUUCCAAGAUGAACGUGGGCGGACAGUGUGGGGAUGCGGUCAGGAAGGCCAACCGCACCUUGUCGUGCAUCCACAGAUGUAUCACGAGCAGGUCCAAGGAGGCGAUCCUCCCCCUCUACGCGGCACUGGUCAGGUCGCAGUUGGAGUACUGCGUCCAGCUCUGGGCACCGCACUUCAGGAGGGAUGUGGACAGCAUGGAGAGGGUCUAGAGGAGGCCACCCACAUGAUCAGGGGACAGCAGGGCAGGCCCUAGGCGGAGAGGUGACAGGACCUGAACCUGUUCAGCCUCCACAAGAGAAGGCUGAGGUGGGAAUCUGGUGGCCAUCUAUAAACUGGCCAAGGGGGACCAGCGGGGAAUGGGAGAGACCUUGUUCCCCCGAGCACCUCCCAGAGUAACAAGGAAUAAUGGACAUAAGUUGUUAGAGAGCAGGUUCAGGCUAGACAUCAGGAGGCACUACUUCACAGUUAGGGCGGCCAGGAUCUGGAACCAACUUCCAAGGGAAGUGGUGCUGGCUCCUACCCCGGGGGUCUUCAAGAGGAGGCUCAACGUUUACCUGGCUGGGGUCAUUUGAGCCCAGUUUUCCUCCUGCCCAAGGCAGGGGGUCAGACUAGAAGAUCUGCAAGGUCCCUUCUGACCCUACUUCUAUGAAUCAUAAAACAGUGAAGUGGGUCUUGUAGUGCAUGUGCACCUUGUAUAGUCCAACCUGUUGCACAAUUUUAGACGGGGAAUAUGACACGGGCAAAAGCAGUUUGCCAGCAGCAGCAACCAACCCAAAGGAAUUGGAUUUUAGAAGAGGAGAGUUUGAAUACUUUGUGCGCUGGAAGGGGAAACUUGUUCCAGUCAGAGGCAGCAUCAUAAAGGCGGCCCAAAGUGCCAGAGGGGAAGAACAGCAACACAAGGAGGAGAGAGCAGAGUGCAGGGUACAACGUGGAAAUACAGCCAGAAACCUACUGAGGCUGGCAGGGGCAGGGCGCUGAGCCUUAUGCACCACAAAACACAGACCUGGUGAAAAUCUAAAAGAGAGUGUAAUGUGUUGAGUUUAAAGGCCACAAAUAGUCAAGAAGUAGGUCUUGAACUGAUACAAGGAGCUGUGAGCAUGCAUGGGGGAGGAGAUGCAUUUGAAGGCCAUCAGCACACACGGUAAGAGACCACAGAAGAGAAGUCAUUUUUCAGGCAAAAUUAAACUAGCUGACUGGCUCAGGGAGCCACUGAAAUGCAGCAAACAAAGUGAAUGCCAGAGUAGCCCACAGGCCCAGUUCUGCCAAGUCCAUUCCAGUAACUGAAGUCAGGUAGCUUCAGUUUUCACAGAUUGAAUUUAAUAUUUCUGUGCAGCCUGAAACUAACUUGCUGAUCUCGAUGUGAAGGAACAGGCAUCUCGAGCCUGUCAAGGCUAACUGGAAUAGCCUUAGUAAAAAGUAAAGGAAGUUAAAUUACAUCCUAAAGGGGAGGGAACAUUACUUUUGUGUGUAUGCACACACAUUUUAAAAUUAAACAAUUUUUCAAGCAGACAUUAGUGUAAAAAAUAAAUUCCUUUUUUAUCAUUACAAUGAGAUGUUUUAGGUUGUGCUAAAGCCAAUUAACCUUCUCUGAAAAGUCUCACUAUACAUUACAGAUACAGCUGAUCAGGAGUAGCUGACAGUCUGUUGUGUAAAUUCAUAAUACACAUUUAAAUAAGUCACUGCAUUUAUUUAUGAUUUUUUAAAGAAGCUAGAAGGCCAAAGUGAAUCUAUAUGCCUUCUGCCUGACUUCAGACUAAUAGGACUAACUACUGCUCUCUCUCCUUUAAGAAGCUACCCAUAAACAUUUAAUUUUCUAAAGAAACCCAAUGCUUUGUCUAGCAAAAAUUGCAAAUACAGCACUAUGAUCCCCACACUUCAAGAAGGACUGAGGCCCCCCACAUUUCAAGGAGGAUUUGGGCAGAUGGAAGAGUCCAGCACAGAGCAAUGAAAAUGAGUAGGGGCCUGGGAAGCAAGACUCACGAGGACAGGCUGAAAGAGCUAGGACUAUUUCGUCUGGAGAAGAGAAGACGGGGGGAAUUUGAUCCAUCUUCAAAUACCAGAAGGAGGAUGACAGAGAAGAUGGAGAUGGGCUUUUCUCUGUGGCCACAGGGGACAGAACUAGGAACAAUGGGAGAUUUAGGUUGAAGAUUAGGAGGAACUUUCUGACUGCGGGUGGUCAGGCUUUGGAACGGGCACCUAGAGAAACUGUCCGUCCCUAGCGGGGGGCGAAACGGGGCGACCGCCCUGGGCCCCGCGGAGCAGCCACGGCCCCUCCUGCGGUGCUCGCCCAGUGCUGGUGGCUCCGCGCUGCCGGUGCCUUCGUGUCCCGCCGCUCGCCACCCCCACCCCUCCCCCUCCCGCUGGCUUUGCGGCCGGCCACUGCUUCCAAUGAUUGAAGAAACUGCUUCAAAAUGAUCUGGAUCAGGCCAGGACCGUUUCCCAGGAGGUGUGGGACAGAUCCCAGAACUUCUCGUUUUUAAAUGACACCGUAUAAAGAAAACCUGUAGUCGACGAUGGUCCUGCACCUGCCAUCAAGCAGGAGGAGUCGGAUAGAGGGCGUCUCCUCUAACGUAUGCGAGCCGUAGACUGUGGUAGGCCCCAGGUUGUUUAACAGAAGAGCAUUUGCUCGACCAGGGUUUGGGGAAGAGAAGAGGCAGCAAAGGAGACGUGCAGGCGAGAGCACGUGGGAGGCAACGAUACUUCAGAACGCGCGGGAGACGGACGGACGCCGUCAGCCACACGUCAUCUAGAGUUCACAUUCAUUUUCCUGAAGAGCUGAUUUUGGUGCGACAGGCUCCCCACAUCACCUCAGAGUCGACACAGCGCAUAUAUACACAGAUAAGUUGCAUAAAUUGCUUAAAUGCCUGUAAAGGCUGUGUGAGAUCCUACGUACCUGAAUGCAAAAGUCAGAAGGAAAAACACAUAGGGCUGAUAUAAGGUGCUGUGUAGAAGGACGCCUAUAAACCUCCAUCUUACCGGUCCCAGCAUAACAUGGGUUUAACAGCACUGGCCCAGGAAUUAACCCGAGAACAAUGGCUCCUGCUUGGAAGGAAGAGCGCGGUUGAUCUGCUGAAUGUUACGCCCAAGGCAGCAGGUGGUAAUUUGGAAAACGCACGCGAAGAAAUCAAGGGGAAAACAAGCAAACAAACAAGUCAGACGAAAGGGCAAGGUGAGCCAUUCCUGCUGUGCGGCUCUACCAGACGGUCAGCUGCUGACGGCUAACGUGAGGAGACAAGGCUGGUGCACCUGCAGCACUUGAGAGUCAGCACGCAGUUGCAGACAAACAUCCUUGCAGUAAAAGUGUCCGUGUUCAUUUAAUGGCAAGAACCUCACCCAGAGACGGCUCUCUCAUGGGAAGCAGCUGGUAAGAUCAAUACGGGGACAAAACCUCAAACAGAACUUGGAAACGAGCAUGCAGUUUACUGGGAGACGAGCUUGUCUGAUCAAAUGCAGGUAGGCAACGUUCGAAGAGCAAAAGAGAUGCUGUGUUACAAACCUGGGAAUUCACAUAAAACUGCUCUGUCGCAUUAAGGUCUAUGAAAUGCUGCCAUUAAAAAUAAGUACCCAGCCAAACACAGAACAAAACAACAGGUGGACAAAGGGAAAAAACAGGCUCGAAAACCAGCAUCAGACCUGUAAGAGAAGUCCCAAACCUCUUCUUGACACCUACCCUCAUAAGCAGCCUGCGAGGAGCCUGCCCGAGGAAAGAGUGACUAAAGCCCGUUUCUGAACUCCUAAAAUAGACAUUUGGAUCGGUGCUUCCAGAGAACGAGUUCAAGCAUUGAGAGUCCCUGUAGAGCCUUUUCAUUUUAGCCUGUACACACCUCACCAGGGGCCAACGCAGGAUCUGUCUCUAGCACGCUGGCCUUGCAUUGUGCAGACCAGGUUUAAAUCAAAGAGAAAAGGGAUUAAUACUAUCACGUGGGAGGUCCUUCCACAGCCUAAUCCACUUCAUUAUUAUACAGAUUCCCCUGCCUACCAGUUCUUUCUUGUAUUUCAUCCCACUCACUACACACACCCUAAAAUUCCUCUCCACGGGAGAGCUGCACACCAGUGCUGACCUCCCCUUUUUCUAAAAAAGGCCUACUAUCUGUUUGGCAUCACACGGUGCAAGAGCUUCCUAUCUGCACAGGGUUUAGAGUGGCGAUUCUCAGGCUGGGGGCGCUGAGAGCGCCUUUUACGGGUGUUGGCUCGGUAUCAGAUGUGCAAACACCUACACGAUUCACAAAGUAAGCCAAGAGAUUUCAAAUAGGGAUCCAGGGUCAAAAACACUGCGACCUACUGUUGCACGAACGGCUAGUUUCGUGCCCCUGGAGGCUUUUCCAAUAUACCUCAAGGAGAGAGUCAGACACACUCAGGCUGGAUCCAUCUCGAGUUUAUUUGUUUGCAAACAGAUCGACAAGGGAGCUCAAUACUCAAAGCCGUGUCGACCCCUAGCCACGCCCGAAGAUACAUUUUUAUACCUCUCAUGAACAAGAUCCCAUUGUGGCAAUCUGUCAUUUGCUACAGUUUUCUGCAAAGUUUAUGUGCAAAGCAGGCAGUAACUAAUCUGUGUUCUCACAGGAGUCAGCCUUAUCGUGAACCGAGCAUUGUUCGGACUGUGCUCUCCCCCUAACAGGACCCCCCCCGGCCCCGCAGUGGUGGGGGAGAGAGGAGAACAAACCAUUUGCAGUUCUCAGCUGUGAAGCCUUUUGUGUAGUGAGAUGAGACAUUUUUGCCACACUACUGUAGUCUUCGAGUUCUUCGCAACACAAUUCCUGCCCCGCCAUCCAAACAGACAGAAAAAAUACCCCACAAGUGAAACCUAAGAGCUGACAUUUUCUGAAUGGUGCUUUGAGUCUAAUGAGGUCAAGAACCACUGGAUCAGUAUGGUAGGUACUUUUUGUGAUAGCUUUUAAUUUGAGAACCUCCACAAGUUCCCCUUUCUUGUAAAGAAUACAAUAGAAAAUGAGCAUUACCAAGCUUUAUAAAACUCUUCCAAGAAUCCAAUUGCUUGCUAAUGCCCUUUUAUGUUGUAACUUCCAGUAAAGCAAGGCCAUAUACAUUUAAAGCUUUGCCCAAAUCUAAGUUUCUAGAUGCACACAUUUGAAAGUGUUGGUUCAUUUGAGCCAGAAAAGCAUUAUACAUAUAAUCUAAAACAUAUUAAAGCUUAUGUCAGGUUUCUUAAAAGAAAGGCUUAGAUUCCUCUAAUGUUUUAAAACCAAAGUGAUAGCAUAACAAAGAUGAGAGGACAAAUGCAGAAUUAAAAAUAAUCAUAAAGAUUUAGAUACACUGCAGUUAAGUGAACAUCAUUACAAAGGUGGCAAGGAUUUGGGGGGGGGGGAAGCGAUAUCCUUCAUUGUAUAGCAUCAUUUGUCUGACCUAAGAAGGCAAGGCAUUCUUCAUAUCACUGAAAGAUAGCUUGCGUAAUUCCUGGACUACCAUGGUCACGUCACUCUAACACUACCAUUGUUACAAAGGCAACAAAGAUAAAACUCCCAUAAAAAUAAAAAGCUGGUUUAAAUUUUAAA
Molecule: long non-coding RNA, 9710 nt
Organism: Alligator mississippiensis (American alligator)
Lineage: Eukaryota; Metazoa; Chordata; Crocodylia; Alligatoridae
Exons: 2
Source: RefSeq, a predicted model, not a curated record